This is a long non-coding RNA of Cyprinus carpio carpio, 1032 nucleotides long. The record is from Ensembl. NCBI's taxonomy places the organism in Eukaryota, Metazoa, Chordata, Actinopteri, Cypriniformes, Cyprinidae.
CCAGCUACGUGGUGAAAAACCACACCAUAUCUAGCAAGUAUGGAAAGCCAAGUAUAUUUGUAAAAUCAGCCACAAGCAAAUUUAAAACAUCCCAACUGAGUCUUACUGAAGAUCAGGAGAGAAGGGCCAGAGAGAUCCUUGUUCCACAUUCCCCUCUGGUCUCCGUGGACAAAGUGGACCCUUCAGAAGAUGGGUACGUCAGUCUCCUGGGAGAGAUAGAGGAAUUGCAGGAGGUGAGGAUGGCACAGGUGCAAUUUGGUAAAGUGCCCGUCCUGGACUUUAAGCUAAACUGCAACUCAAGAGCAGUUGAGGUUUCUCUGUGGAGAGAUGAGGCUCUUAUCGAGGUGUUAAAUGGAGACACUGUGGAGCUGACCCACCUCCGCCCAAACACUAAACCGAAUGGAAACAUUAAAUUCAAUUCUUCCACAUACACCACCGUAAAGGUUUCAGAAAGGCGGCUCAUUGAGGAGACGGUGGAGGUGAUCGGAGUGUCUUCCGGAAUGGGCGUGAUCGUGCUUCUGGGGGUCGAUUAUGAGGAGUACAUUGUCCCAGACACAAUGUAUUCAGGAGACGUUGAGGACCUUGUGGAACAGCUGCCAAUAAAAAUGAAAAUAAAACAUAUGAACAACCGGGUGCUAAGCAUCGAAGACUAGAACUUAAAUGAUAUAGGUUAAUAUUUAAUAGGUUAAGGGAGUAGUUUUUUUUACCCCAUUAUUAAAAGAUUAUUUGUUCAGCUGUUAAAUUUUUUGUGCUUGCAUAAUAUAUGUUGGGGGUCCUCCAGGAAUGUGGUUGAGAACCACUGAUAUAGUUAAUUGAUUUGUUUGUUUAUAUGUUAAUACUUUGCAAUUGGUUUUCAAUAGUUCUUCAGUUCACUUUGUAUUUCUCAUUUUUUUUAUUUUUUUGGUUCAAUUAAAGUCAUUAGAUAAUUGUCAGUUAUGUCAGUUUUGAUGCUUUUCACACAUACACACCACAGCCUAGGCUAUAUAUUACUGACAGUACAACAUUCUCAUAUGAUAAUUACUUACAUUUUCA